This 434-nucleotide ribosomal RNA is filed under the name Escherichia coli. RNAcentral's name for it is "bacterial SSU rRNA". It matches the Rfam family "Bacterial small subunit ribosomal RNA", at positions 958 to 1392 of the family's 1533-position model. Lineage: Bacteria; Pseudomonadati; Pseudomonadota; Gammaproteobacteria; Enterobacterales; Enterobacteriaceae. The record is from RNAcentral. RNAcentral also lists the same sequence under 4 other names.
AACGCGAAGAACCUUACCUGGUCUUGACAUCCACGGAAGUUUUCAGAGAUGAGAAUGUGCCUUCGGGAACCGUGAGACAGGUGCUGCAUGGCUGUCGUCAGCUCGUGUUGUGAAAUGUUGGGUUAAGUCCCGCAACGAGCGCAACCCUUAUCCUUUGUUGCCAGCGGUCCGGCCGGGAACUCAAAGGAGACUGCCAGUGAUAAACUGGAGGAAGGUGGGGAUGACGUCAAGUCAUCAUGGCCCUUACGACCAGGGCUACACACGUGCUACAAUGGCGCAUACAAAGAGAAGCGACCUCGCGAGAGCAAGCGGACCUCAUAAAGUGCGUCGUAGUCCGGAUUGGAGUCUGCAACUCGACUCCAUGAAGUCGGAAUCGCUAGUAAUCGUGGAUCAGAAUGCCACGGUGAAUACGUUCCCGGGUCUUGUACACACCG